This 85-nucleotide transfer RNA is filed under the name Natronomonas aquatica. It matches the Rfam family "tRNA". Rfam says of the family: Transfer RNA (tRNA) molecules are approximately 80 nucleotides in length. Their secondary structure includes four short double-helical elements and three loops (D, anti-codon, and T loops). Lineage: Archaea; Methanobacteriati; Methanobacteriota; Halobacteria; Halobacteriales; Natronomonadaceae. The record is from Rfam by way of RNAcentral.
GGUGGGAUGGCAGAGCGGCCCAUUGCGCCGGUCUUGAAAACCGGUCCCCGUGAGGGGUUCCUGGGUUCGAAUCCCAGUCCCACCG